Molecule: ribosomal RNA, 421 nt
Filed under: uncultured bacterium
Lineage: Bacteria
Description: bacterial SSU rRNA
Rfam family: Bacterial small subunit ribosomal RNA
Source: RNAcentral
UGGGAACGCGAAGAACCUUACCUACUCUUGACAUCCAGAGAACUUAGCAGAGAUGCUUUGGUGCCUUCGGGAACUCUGAGACAGGUGCUGCAUGGCUGUCGUCAGCUCGUGUUGUGAAAUGUUGGGUUAAGUCCCGCAACGAGCGCAACCCUUAUCCUUUGUUGCCAGCGGUUAGGCCGGGAACUCAAAGGAGACUGCCAGUGAUAAACUGGAGGAAGGUGGGGAUGACGUCAAGUCAUCAUGGCCCUUACGAGUAGGGCUACACACGUGCUACAAUGGCAUAUACAAAGAGAAGCGACCUCGCGAGAGCAAGCGGACCUCAUAAAGUAUGUCGUAGUCCGGAUUGGAGUCUGCAACUCGACUCCAUGAAGUCGGAAUCGCUAGUAAUCGUGGAUCAGAAUGCCACGGUGAAUACGUUCCC